RNAcentral lists this ribosomal RNA (253 nucleotides) under uncultured bacterium. Its description in RNAcentral is "partial 16S ribosomal RNA". It matches the Rfam family "Bacterial small subunit ribosomal RNA", at positions 524 to 776 of the family's 1533-position model. The record is from RNAcentral.
UACGUAGGGUGCAAGCGUUGUUCGGAAUUACUGGGCGUAAAGCGUGUGUAGGUGGCUCGUUAAGUCUGGUGUGAAAGCCCUGAGCUCAACUCAGGAAUUGCAUCGGAAACUAACAAGCUGGAGUCCGGGAGAGGGUAGUGGAAUUCCUGGUGUAGAGGUGAAAUUCGUAGAUAUCAGGAGGAACACCGGUGGCGAAGGCGGCUACCUGGACCGGUACUGACACUGAGGCACGAAAGCGUGGGGAGCAAACAGG